UUAUCAUGUCAUGAACUAUUUUCUUGUUAUGCUAUCACAUGAACCAAUCUUAACAAGCGAGCUGGCUCAUAUACUGUGUAGGCAGCAUGGUAAGAGUUGUGUUUUUUUUUAGGUUCCAGCAAAACAACCUCAAAAUGUCUGUGCAUGUUGCUGCACACUGUCAUGUCUUUGCGUUCUUUUAUUUCCAACUUACACAUUGUUGAAGGUAUAAUAACUACAGUUCAUCAUGUUCUGUCUUUUUAACUAAUCAUGUUGUGAGGGUUUUUUCAUAAUUUUUGUAAUCAAUUUGUACAACUGUAAUUGAUAUAAUAGACAUGGAACAGGUUAAUUAAUGAAAAAUGUAUUUCAUCACCUCCCAACAGAAGUGCAUGUUCAAAAGACUCCUGUAGCUGCACCAGGCCAUGUCAGACUGACUUGUAACACCAGCUGUCCUCAGACUGAUCUUCAGACUGCCUUAAGAGUGUACAGGAGCAGUAUCUCAGAGGGACAGUAUGGGACAAUAAAGGAUGUAUUUCCCCACAUAUCUAAUGAAAACUUCUCCUGUGCUGUAAAAGGCCUCAAACAUCUACACUCUGCUGCAGUCUGUGCUGAGGAUAAGAACUGUUGGAGUGUGAAUUAUGUCAGCAGGAGAAUCUGUGCUGUUCACGGCUCCUCAGUGAACAUUUCAAGUGAAUAUUCUCAUACUGACAACCAGCAGCCCCAGUCUAAAUUAUGGUAUAAAAUAAUCAGAAGUGGUAAGAAGGAGACUGAAAAGCCUAUUGAAGUUGCAGGUCCUGUUGAGUACCAUGAAAACAUGAACAAUCAUCACAUCCUGUCAAUUAAAGACCUGACGAGGAAUGACUCAGCAGAAUACAAAUUCAAGAUCCAGACACAGGACGGAUGGAAACAGUCAGAUUUUUCUGGAGUGACGUUGGUUGUCACAGGUAGUUCUUUAGAUUUAAUAUAUUAUUUUUGAAUACGGAAUUAUUGAUUCCAACCCAUGUGAUGUACUAUCAGCAGUCAGCACACUGAAAGGCUGGUUCAAUGCUCCUUUCACUCAAUUCAGUUCAUGUAUUUAUCAAAAUAAAUGUACUGACUUUGGCUUUAUGGCUUUUUUAGAAGACACUGACAAACAAUCUAGUUGAUGGAUAGUUAAGGGACCUUGUGAGAUAGUAUGUCUCUUUCACAUUUGCUGAUCAAACUAUCUUUCAGAUCUUAAAGUGACGUUCACUCCCUCUGCAGUGGUGACAGAGGGUCAGAGAGUCACACUGACCUGCCGCACCAGCUGUCCUCUGAACACAGACUACAUCUGGACCUUCAACAGUCGACCUCUGAACCUGCCAGAGAGCCAAAACAAACACCUGGUUCUAGACCCAGUCAGCAGUCAGCAUGAAGGAAGGUACUCCUGUAAGGUCAAAACUGGCAGAAGAACCAUUGGCUCAGCUGAAAAAACUCUGACUGUCCAAAAUACUAAAGGGAAACAAACAUCAGCAGCAGCUGCAGGAGUGUGUGCUGCUCUCCUGGUUUUACUACUUCUCACUGUCCUCUGGUGGAUGAGGUGAGCAACACUGUGCUGUUCCUGACUAAUGACAUUUACACACAAUCCCGGAAUCACUAAUUAAUUUGUAUAUUCUCUUGUGUCACUAACCAGAAAGAAGAGAACAUCCACCCAAUCUCCUCGAACUGAACCCUCAGACAACUCGGAGGAGGUAGAGAAAACAAUCUAAACUAUAGACAAGAGUUGUGUUUGUAUACAGUGAUGACAUUUUUUUUGGCACAGUCAAAAAGGUGGCAGAAAGUGACAGCUCAGCAGUAGCUUCUAGCGAGCCGUGUCAGGUGUGAGCACCUGAAUCAUCUUCUAUUAAUCAUGUAGCCUCUCUUUAGUUUUUCUCUUCACUUGCACCUGGUCAUGUUCCUAAUAAACUGUUCUAUGCUUUCCCUCAGAUUUUUAUAUAAUUUAUAUAAAAAAUUUUAACGCGUGAUUAAUGCUCAGUAUUUAAAAAAAAGAAACGCGCAUUGUUUGAUUUACGGCCAUCAGUGGCACCUGUAGUCUUGAUCCAGAGGGCGGCAGAAGAAUAAGAAAGGGAAUCAGAGGAAGAAGAAGCAGGGUUGGCAUUCGGGAAAAACACGGUGGACUGAAAAGCGAAAGUGAAAGGAAAUGGAGAAAGGACUUAUGAACGGCAAAUUCACUUUCAAAACACUGCCAGAUGGUUCGGUCCAUGUUUUGAUCCCAUUUAGGGUGAGGGGAUAUUUUUGGAGCCUUUUAUUUUCCUGCAUAAUUUGAAGUGUUGAAUAAACAUUUUCAUAAAGCAAGCAUAUUUGCCCUUUCUUAUGUUGUUAAAAGUAUUAAGAACAUGAACAAAAUACAUUAAGGUACAUUUAGAACAGAAACAAAUGUGCCAAAAAAUGUGCGAUUAAUAUGCGAUUAAUCGCGAGUUAACUGUGGACAAAAUGUGAUUAAUCGCAAUUAAAAAAAUUAAUCGCUUGACAGCCCUCUUAAUAUAUUGUAUAAACGUUUAUUUGUGGUAGUCAGUGCAUCUGAAUUGUAGUUAACAAAAGUUUAUGUCCAAGAUUGCUCACACAACAAGCAGAUGUCAAGGAGUGUAACAGAAGUAUGUCUUUAUGUGGCUAUCGACUCAAGACACCAAACAUUUGCAAAAUAUACCUGAAAAUUCUUCAGACAACAUUCAUCCAUUGAGUUCUAAAAAAAAAAGAUUUUUCUCGUCUCCUCAGCCAAACCCUGAUUCUUGUGUAUGAAAACAUCUCAGCUCCAUCAGCAGAGCAGGAUGACCAUCACUACAUGAGACUCCACUUCUCUCAGAACCACACAGAUGAUCUCUACUCCACCAUCCAUCAAGCAGCUUCCAACUGAACUACAGUUUGUUGUCAUUGUAUUUUGCAGUUAGAGCCUGACCAAUAUAUCAGUCGAUAUUAACCUAUCAUGGAUAUAUCUGGGAUAUAUUGAUAUCCACCUAUAUGUUAUCCAAAAUGUCCAUUACAAAACUUUCUACGCAACAUAAUGCAGAAUAAAAGGCCCUGGUGUGAUUCAUGAUUAAGUGUUGUUUAAUGUGAUGGUGCACUCUUGUAAUCUUUAACAAUAA
Sparus aurata (gilthead seabream) is the source of this 3080-nucleotide long non-coding RNA. Lineage: Eukaryota; Metazoa; Chordata; Actinopteri; Spariformes; Sparidae. The record is from Ensembl.